GGGCUCGUAGCUCAGUGGUAGAGCGCCCGCUUGGCGUGCGGGAGGCCAGGGGUUCAAAGCACCUUUUCA
RNAcentral lists this transfer RNA (69 nucleotides) under Microcaldota archaeon. RNAcentral's name for it is "Candidatus Micrarchaeota archaeon (hot springs metagenome) tRNA-Ala". It matches the Rfam family "tRNA". Rfam says of the family: Transfer RNA (tRNA) molecules are approximately 80 nucleotides in length. Their secondary structure includes four short double-helical elements and three loops (D, anti-codon, and T loops). The record is from RNAcentral. Lineage: Archaea; Nanobdellati; Microcaldota.